This 484-nucleotide ribosomal RNA is filed under the name uncultured bacterium. Its description in RNAcentral is "partial 16S ribosomal RNA". It matches the Rfam family "Bacterial small subunit ribosomal RNA", at positions 30 to 507 of the family's 1533-position model. The record is from RNAcentral.
AUUGAACGCUGGCGGCAGGCCUAACACAUGCAAGUCGAGCGGAUGAAGGGAGCUUGCUCCUGGAUUCAGCGGCGGACGGGUGAGUAAUGCCUAGGAAUCUGCCUGGUAGUGGGGGAUAACGUCCGGAAACGGGCGCUAAUACCGCAUACGUCCUGAGGGAGAAAGUGGGGGAUCUUCGGACCUCACGCUAUCAGAUGAGCCUAGGUCGGAUUAGCUAGUUGGUGGGGUAAAGGCCUACCAAGGCGACGAUCCGUAACUGGUCUGAGAGGAUGAUCAGUCACACGGGAACUGAGACACGCUCCAGACUCCUACGGGAGGCAGCAGUGGGGAAUAUUGGACAAUGGGCGAAAGCCUGAUCCAGCCAUGCCGCGUGUGUGAAGAAGGUCUUCGGAUUGUAAAGCACUUUAAGUUGGGAGGAAGGGCAGUAAGUUAAUACCUUGCUGUUUUGACGUUACCAACAGAAUAAGCACCGGCUAACUUCGUG